RNAcentral lists this ribosomal RNA (2846 nucleotides) under Escherichia coli. Its description in RNAcentral is "partial 23S ribosomal RNA". It matches the Rfam family "Bacterial large subunit ribosomal RNA". The record is from RNAcentral. Lineage: Bacteria; Pseudomonadati; Pseudomonadota; Gammaproteobacteria; Enterobacterales; Enterobacteriaceae.
UGCUAAUCUGCGAUAAGCGUCGGUAAGGUGAUAUGAACCGUUAUAACCGGCGAUUUCCGAAUGGGGAAACCCAGUGUGUUUCGACACACUAUCAUUAACUGAAUCCAUAGGUUAAUGAGGCGAACCGGGGGAACUGAAACAUCUAAGUACCCCGAGGAAAAGAAAUCAACCGAGAUUCCCCCAGUAGCGGCGAGCGAACGGGGAGCAGCCCAGAGCCUGAAUCAGUGUGUGUGUUAGUGGAAGCGUCUGGAAAGGCGUGCGAUACAGGGUGACAGCCCCGUACACAAAAAUGCACAUGCUGUGAGCUCGAUGAGUAGGGCGGGACACGUGGUAUCCUGUCUGAAUAUGGGGGGACCAUCCUCCAAGGCUAAAUACUCCUGACUGACCGAUAGUGAACCAGUACCGUGAGGGAAAGGCGAAAAGAACCCCGGCGAGGGGAGUGAAAAAGAACCUGAAACCGUGUACGUACAAGCAGUGGGAGCACGCUUAGGCGUGUGACUGCGUACCUUUUGUAUAAUGGGUCAGCGACUUAUAUUCUGUAGCAAGGUUAACCGAAUAGGGGAGCCGAAGGGAAACCGAGUCUUAACUGGGCGUUAAGUUGCAGGGUAUAGACCCGAAACCCGGUGAUCUAGCCAUGGGCAGGUUGAAGGUUGGGUAACACUAACUGGAGGACCGAACCGACUAAUGUUGAAAAAUUAGCGGAUGACUUGUGGCUGGGGGUGAAAGGCCAAUCAAACCGGGAGAUAGCUGGUUCUCCCCGAAAGCUAUUUAGGUAGCGCCUCGUGAAUUCAUCUCCGGGGGUAGAGCACUGUUUCGGCAAGGGGGUCAUCCCGACUUACCAACCCGAUGCAAACUGCGAAUACCGGAGAAUGUUAUCACGGGAGACACACGGCGGGUGCUAACGUCCGUCGUGAAGAGGGAAACAACCCAGACCGCCAGCUAAGGUCCCAAAGUCAUGGUUAAGUGGGAAACGAUGUGGGAAGGCCCAGACAGCCAGGAUGUUGGCUUAGAAGCAGCCAUCAUUUAAAGAAAGCGUAAUAGCUCACUGGUCGAGUCGGCCUGCGCGGAAGAUGUAACGGGGCUAAACCAUGCACCGAAGCUGCGGCAGCGACGCUUAUGCGUUGUUGGGUAGGGGAGCGUUCUGUAAGCCUGCGAAGGUGUGCUGUGAGGCAUGCUGGAGGUAUCAGAAGUGCGAAUGCUGACAUAAGUAACGAUAAAGCGGGUGAAAAGCCCGCUCGCCGGAAGACCAAGGGUUCCUGUCCAACGUUAAUCGGGGCAGGGUGAGUCGACCCCUAAGGCGAGGCCGAAAGGCGUAGUCGAUGGGAAACAGGUUAAUAUUCCUGUACUUGGUGUUACUGCGAAGGGGGGACGGAGAAGGCUAUGUUGGCCGGGCGACGGUUGUCCCGGUUUAAGCGUGUAGGCUGGUUUUCCAGGCAAAUCCGGAAAAUCAAGGCUGAGGCGUGAUGACGAGGCACUACGGUGCUGAAGCAACAAAUGCCCUGCUUCCAGGAAAAGCCUCUAAGCAUCAGGUAACAUCAAAUCGUACCCCAAACCGACACAGGUGGUCAGGUAGAGAAUACCAAGGCGCUUGAGAGAACUCGGGUGAAGGAACUAGGCAAAAUGGUGCCGUAACUUCGGGAGAAGGCACGCUGAUAUGUAGGUGAAGUCCCUCGCGGAUGGAGCUGAAAUCAGUCGAAGAUACCAGCUGGCUGCAACUGUUUAUUAAAAACACAGCACUGUGCAAACACGAAAGUGGACGUAUACGGUGUGACGCCUGCCCGGUGCCGGAAGGUUAAUUGAUGGGGUCAGCGCAAGCGAAGCUCUUGAUCGAAGCCCCGGUAAACGGCGGCCGUAACUAUAACGGUCCUAAGGUAGCGAAAUUCCUUGUCGGGUAAGUUCCGACCUGCACGAAUGGCGUAAUGAUGGCCAGGCUGUCUCCACCCGAGACUCAGUGAAAUUGAACUCGCUGUGAAGAUGCAGUGUACCCGCGGCAAGACGGAAAGACCCCGUGAACCUUUACUAUAGCUUGACACUGAACAUUGAGCCUUGAUGUGUAGGAUAGGUGGGAGGCUUUGAAGUGUGGACGCCAGUCUGCAUGGAGCCGACCUUGAAAUACCACCCUUUAAUGUUUGAUGUUCUAACGUUGACCCGUAAUCCGGGUUGCGGACAGUGUCUGGUGGGUAGUUUGACUGGGGCGGUCUCCUCCUAAAGAGUAACGGAGGAGCACGAAGGUUGGCUAAUCCUGGUCGGACAUCAGGAGGUUAGUGCAAUGGCAUAAGCCAGCUUGACUGCGAGCGUGACGGCGCGAGCAGGUGCGAAAGCAGGUCAUAGUGAUCCGGUGGUUCUGAAUGGAAGGGCCAUCGCUCAACGGAUAAAAGGUACUCCGGGGAUAACAGGCUGAUACCGCCCAAGAGUUCAUAUCGACGGCGGUGUUUGGCACCUCGAUGUCGGCUCAUCACAUCCUGGGGCUGAAGUAGGUCCCAAGGGUAUGGCUGUUCGCCAUUUAAAGUGGUACGCGAGCUGGGUUUAGAACGUCGUGAGACAGUUCGGUCCCUAUCUGCCGUGGGCGCUGGAGAACUGAGGGGGGCUGCUCCUAGUACGAGAGGACCGGAGUGGACGCAUCACUGGUGUUCGGGUUGUCAUGCCAAUGGCACUGCCCGGUAGCUAAAUGCGGAAGAGAUAAGUGCUGAAAGCAUCUAAGCACGAAACUUGCCCCGAGAUGAGUUCUCCCUGACUCCUUGAGAGUCCUGAAGGAACGUUGAAGACGACGACGUUGAUAGGCCGGGUGUGUAAGCGCAGCGAUGCGUUGAGCUAACCGGUACUAAUGAACCGUGAGGCUUAACCUU